CAUCAUAACAGAGGAGUUCAAUUAAGAAGAUGCAUGAUUUAUGAUGAAAAUAUCAAAUAAUUUUUAUCAAUUAAUAAUUUAUAUAUAAUUAUAAGAAGCACAAUCAUCCAGACGAUUGGCUUUAGGAUAUAUUUUUUAAUAGUAUGCAUCUGAUACUAUCAACAUCCAUCUUAAUCAGCAUGCCUUUUAUAUUGAAAACUAGACUUCUAAUCAUUUCAAUGCUUG
RNAcentral lists this long non-coding RNA (225 nucleotides) under Elaeis guineensis (African oil palm). RNAcentral describes it as "long non-coding RNA (EGUI_LNC020249)". Lineage: Eukaryota; Viridiplantae; Streptophyta; Magnoliopsida; Arecales; Arecaceae. The record is from RNAcentral.